Molecule: long non-coding RNA, 356 nt
Filed under: Lathyrus oleraceus (garden pea)
Lineage: Eukaryota; Viridiplantae; Streptophyta; Magnoliopsida; Fabales; Fabaceae
Description: Pisum sativum (pea) long non-coding RNA (PSAT_LNC008908)
Source: RNAcentral
UAAUUCAUUCACUUUUCAGCAACUUCUCUGCAACCAUUUUAUUUUAUUUUUACUUUUUAUUUUUCUCUUUUUUAGAAGGAAUAUGAUAAGAACAUGAAUUUUCUUCCUUCUUUAUUUUCUUUUUCUUUUCUUUUUCUAUCUUUUUUCUUUUAACUUUUGAAAUAUCACAACUAUAUUAAUUCAACCCCACACAAAUCCAAACAAGACUCUUUCAACCCUUUAAAUAGGGGUAUAAUAUUCUUUUUCACCUUUAGGCUUGUAAUAAGUUUCAAACAAAGAAUGAGAUAAAUAGGCUCAAAGGGGUUUCAAACAAUGGAUGAUAUUUUUAAGGUUUUCUUUUGGGCUAAGUGGCUAAA